This is a long non-coding RNA of Ornithodoros turicata, 899 nucleotides long. RefSeq lists it as uncharacterized. The transcript has 5 exons. The record is from RefSeq and is a predicted model, not a curated record. Lineage: Eukaryota; Metazoa; Arthropoda; Arachnida; Ixodida; Argasidae.
GCAUGCGCACUGGAUCUGCAUGGCCUCCAGCAACCGGCACCUGUGUGAGGAACGCAAGUGUGCCCCGACUGUCAAAAUCGUCAAAGUCAAAGCUGUGCCUCACUCGUGGGCUUUCGCAAUAAGAUUUUGAAGGAGACUGGAAUGGAAGCCGCAAACAAGAAAGUUGCUGCAGCCCAUAUAGGGCUCCCGUGGUGAACAUGGCUGCCCAGGAAAACAUAUCUUUGUGUUGAAGCCGGUCUGUGCAUAUUUUAAUGAAGACUAUGAGGUCUGCACCUCGUUCCACACUCACAAAGCUGGCCAGACAGCUGUAGAGUGAGGACCCCCAACACCACGCCUCUGCUAUUGGUAUGAGUGCUUCCAUUUCUUGGAAGUGUUUUUUUACUGCUAUUGGCACCUUGCAGUGGUCAUUUCUUCUUCUUUGUGUAAAACAUAUUUAUGUUUUGUGCAACUGAAAGUAAGUAUGCUGUCACAAAACAAGAAUCUGUGCUGCAGCUGCAACAUGGGCUCUCAAAGCAUUUGCAGUCACUGCAAUGCACUGUACAUCUCUCUCUCUCUCUUAUAGGGUCAUCACUACUACUCUUCUCAGGCAUUGUUCUUCCCUUGGACAAUGACAAAACGCUAACUGCAAGGAGCGUGGAGUGUAUUUCAACUACGAUGUGCAGUGCCUGCCACCAACGUUUGUUAUGUUACAAUCCAUGCAAUGCUAUUUUGGACACAUCAGCACUGAAAGUGGAACAAAGCACCCCAAUGGUAAUCAAGCUUAAGUAGCAUGCCUGUUUGCAUUCUGUCACUCAUCUGCGAACUGGGGUAAAGUUGAAAGGAGCCAUUCCAAGCUGUUGUGCUGGAGAAAGUUACUGCACUGUACAUUUCAGUGAAUAUAUCGCUUUAUGAACACAUAA